This is a long non-coding RNA of Rhopalosiphum padi (bird cherry-oat aphid), 997 nucleotides long. RefSeq lists it as uncharacterized. The transcript is spliced from 3 exons. NCBI's taxonomy places the organism in Eukaryota, Metazoa, Arthropoda, Insecta, Hemiptera, Aphididae. The record is from RefSeq and is a predicted model, not a curated record.
GGACACUUUACUAUCAGAAUUACAGAUAAUAACAACAAUUCCUCCUCACCUUUGCCGUAUUUCCUGCUCCUUAUCAUUUCUUGUUUUGGUUGGACUUUAUUUUCUCAUUUGAGCGAAUUUGGCCACUUUAAUGCAAGGUCGGUGCUCCGAUAUUGCAAAAUUAUACGGCUACUCCUUCCCUGGAUUACACAUUUCACAACACGAUUCAGGCACUAGUGCACCUCCUUAGUUUGCAGAUUGAAAUGGAUCUUUGCUCUACAAUUAUUAUUAUCGCUCGCAUCCAUUUCCAAAAGAAAAAUAUGCUGAUAUGUGAAUACGCUAUCUACUGCGUUUGUACAAGAUAAUGGACCAACAUUUUUAAUUUCAUAAUUUAAUAUGUCACCUGACGGCGUAUGUGACGUAAAUCCAUAUAUUAUAAAGGUUGCCGUGUUAUCAAUAAUAUUACACAUUAUAAACCAUAUUAUAAUAUUAGUAUAGGUAACUUAAAUAGCAAAUACCUAAGUUUGGAAAAAAUAAUAAUGUAUAUAUAGGAAUAUAUAUUUAAAUAUACUCAAAUCAUACAGGGGUUAAAAAAAACCAAAAACUGUACCACUUGAUUUAAGGUAAAAAAAUCAAAAGAAACUAUUAAUAUACCUACCUCCAAAUGGGUGGUCCUCAAUUCAUGUUGGAUUAAUUUACAAAAUAUUAUGAUAGCAAGGAAAGUUCAAAACAAUUAAAAACAUUGCAAUCGCGAAUGACUAAUUCAGUGACUAACUAGUGUUUACCUAACCCAUUGCUAAUAUUAUACAAAUAAAUUACGUAUAGUAGUAUAAAUAAAUAUAUAAUGCCCUUAGGAAUAAAGUCUAACACAACACUUAGAAUUAUAUUUUUUCAUCUAGGUAGGCAUAUUUUAAUAUUGAAUUCAAAUUUAAAUCAAUUUAAUGGCAUGGUACUACUGGUACUCACUCUAAAUUCUAAUACUUACUAUAUUAUACACUUACUCCUGAUAAACGAUAAG